GAUGAACGCUGGCGGCGUGCCUAAUACAUGCAAGUCGAGCGAACGGACGAGAAGCUUGCUUCUCUGAUGUUAGCGGCGGACGGGUGAGUAACACGUGGAUAACCUACCUAUAAGACUGGGAUAACUUCGGGAAACCGUAGCUAAUACCGGAUAAUAUUUUGAACCGCAUGGUUCAAAAGUGAAAGACGGUCUUGCUGUCACUUAUAGAUGGAUCCGCGCUGCAUUAGCUAGUUGGUAAGGUAACGGCUUACCAAGGCAACGAUGCAUAGCCGACCUGAGAGGGUGAUCGGCCACACUGGAGCUGAGACACGGUCCAGACUCCUACGGGAGGCAGCAGUAGGGAAUCUUCCGCAAUGGGCGAAAGCCUGCCGGAGCAACGCCGCGUGAGUGAUGAAGGUCUUCGGAUCGUAAAACUCUGUUAUUAGGGAAGAACAUAUGUGUAAGUAACUGUGCACAUCUUGACGGUACCCAAUCAGAAAGCCACGGCUAACUACGU
RNAcentral lists this ribosomal RNA (496 nucleotides) under uncultured bacterium. RNAcentral's name for it is "partial 16S ribosomal RNA". It matches the Rfam family "Bacterial small subunit ribosomal RNA", at positions 28 to 506 of the family's 1533-position model. The record is from RNAcentral.